CAAUCACAAGAAAAUCUGUCUUCUCAUCGGUGACAUGUUUAUAGUUGCGAUUGUGUGUUUAGUUCUUUGACUUGAGGUGCAUCGGCUAUUUACCUUAAGGGUACUAUAGUUUUACUACACCAUAACUCGAUCUCUUAGCUAUAUAUAGCCUUGAGGUGUAUAUUGGCUGAACUAUGUUCAUUGUAGGAAUUGGAUUGCACCAAGAUGGGAUCUAUUGACCUCGG
RNAcentral lists this long non-coding RNA (224 nucleotides) under Elaeis guineensis (African oil palm). Its description in RNAcentral is "long non-coding RNA (EGUI_LNC061319)". Lineage: Eukaryota; Viridiplantae; Streptophyta; Magnoliopsida; Arecales; Arecaceae. The record is from RNAcentral.